UGUAAGUCGCGACUGUCGUGGCGUCUUGCUUUUUGGGGGUCUGCUGGAAUCGGCGGGCUGGUCCUAGAUCGCGGCGUAGGCCGGAUGGCGAGGAUUCCAGUCGGAUUGUGCGGGCCGUGGCGGGUUGGUGCACCCAGGAACGCGGCCUGGAGGGUCGGUGUUGAGUAGCGGCAGGUCGGCUGCCUUUCCCAGGCCUUCUGGUCCUUGCGCGCGUCGCGUUUGAGCCGGCUUGCCGGCGCGACUCGGCUGGAAUGUUAGUUUUGUGGGCUCACGAGCUGCCUCAAUUCUGCGAGUGUUUGAUGGCACUGCGACAGCAGGAGUUGAGGAAAGCACCCUUCUAUCCAUUCAGGACCCGUCAAUCUCGCCUUUGCUUGGUCCCGCUGGAAUCUGCGAGCUCCUGCUAAGCUUUGGGGCCAUGCAGUCUCUUAGUUACCAGUACAUGCCAUUACGUGCCAGCAAAGUUAAUGAGAUUGCAUGUUACUCGUGCCUGUGUAGUGGAAGGACCGAUGCAUGUUAUUCUAAGUGCCUGUGUAGUGGAUGGACCGAUGAGGGUGGGAAGUGGACAUAACCUUUCAAAGUCUGAUGCAUGCAGUGAAACGUACAGUGGGAAGAGCUAGAUUUAUGUUUGUUCCCCUCACCUCACUGUGAGAUAUACUUUGGUAUCAAAUUGCCGGUUAGCUU
RNAcentral lists this long non-coding RNA (681 nucleotides) under Homo sapiens (human). RNAcentral describes it as "long non-coding RNA NONHSAT199221". The record is from RNAcentral. Lineage: Eukaryota; Metazoa; Chordata; Mammalia; Primates; Hominidae.